AUUGAACGCUGGCGGCAGGCUUAACACAUGCAAGUCGGGCGGUAGCACAGGGGAGCUUGCUCCCUGGGUGACGAGCGGCGGACGGGUGAGUAAUGUCUGGGAAACUGCCUGAUGGAGGGGGAUAACUACUGGAAACGGUAGCUAAUACCGCAUAACGUCGCAAGACCAAAGAGGGGGACCUUCGGGCCUCUUGCCAUCAGAUGUGCCCAGAUGGGAUUAGCUAGUAGGUGGGGUAAUGGCUCACCUAGGCGACGAUCCCUAGCUGGUCUGAGAGGAUGACCAGCCACACUGGAACUGAGACACGGUCCAGACUCCUACGGGAGGCAGCAGUGGGGAAUAUUGCACAAUGGGCGCAAGCCUGAUGCAGCCAUGCCGCGUGUGUGAAGAAGGCCUUCGGGUUGUAAAGCACUUUCAGCGAGGAGGAAGGUGGUGAGCUUAAUACGUUCAUCAAUUGACGUUACUCGCAGAAGAAGCACCGGCUAACUCCGUG
Molecule: ribosomal RNA, 490 nt
Filed under: uncultured bacterium
Lineage: Bacteria
Description: partial 16S ribosomal RNA
Rfam family: Bacterial small subunit ribosomal RNA
Source: RNAcentral